RNAcentral lists this ribosomal RNA (301 nucleotides) under uncultured bacterium. RNAcentral describes it as "partial 16S ribosomal RNA". It matches the Rfam family "Bacterial small subunit ribosomal RNA", at positions 509 to 809 of the family's 1533-position model. The record is from RNAcentral.
CAGUAGCCGCGGUAAUACGAAGGGGGCUAGCGUUGUUCGGAUUUACUGGGCGUAAAGGGCGCGUAAGCGGACUGAUAAGUCAGGGGUGAAAUCCCAAGGCUCAACCUUGGAACUGCCUUUGAUACUGUUUGUCUUGAGUUCGAGAGAGGUAAGUGGAACUGCGAGUGUAGAGGUGAAAUUCGUAGAUAUUCGCAAGAACACCAGUGGCGAAGGCGGCUUACUGGCUCGAAACUGACGCUGAGGCGCGAAAGCGUGGGGAGCAAACAGGAUUAGAUACCCGUGUAGUCCCUGUCUCUUAUAA